UAUAUGAACCGCUCCAGUGGCCUAGUGGUUAGAGCGUCCACCUCAGAUGUGGGAGGUCAUGGGUUCGAUUCUUGGCCGAUUCAUGUAA
This is a non-coding RNA of Potamilus streckersoni, 88 nucleotides long. The record is from the annotation of a GenBank genome assembly. NCBI's taxonomy places the organism in Eukaryota, Metazoa, Mollusca, Bivalvia, Unionida, Unionidae.